This 465-nucleotide ribosomal RNA is filed under the name uncultured bacterium. Its description in RNAcentral is "partial 16S ribosomal RNA". It matches the Rfam family "Bacterial small subunit ribosomal RNA", at positions 339 to 795 of the family's 1533-position model. The record is from RNAcentral.
CUACGGGACGCUGCAGUGGGGAAUAUUGGACAAUGGGGGCAACCCUGAUCCAGCCAUGCCGCGUGUGUGAAGAAGGCCUUUUGGUUGUAAAGCACUUUAAGCGAGGAGGAGGCUACUGGUACUAAUAUUACCAGCUAGUGGACGUUACUCGCAGAAUAAGCACCGGCUAACUCUGUGCCAGCAGCCGCGGUAAUACAGAGGGUGCGAGCGUUAAUCGGAAUUACUGGGCGUAAAGCGCGCGUAGGCGGUUUGUUAAGUCGGAUGUGAAAUCCCCGGGCUCAACCUGGGAAUUGGAUUCGAUACUGGCAAGCUAGAGUAUGGGAGAGGAAGGUAGAAUUCCAGGUGUAGCGGUGAAAUGCGUAGAGAUCUGGAGGAAUACCGAUGGCGAAGGCAGCCUUCUGGCCUAAUACUGACGCUGAGGUGCGAAAGCAUGGGGAGCAAACAGGAUUAGAUACCCCAGUAGUC